Molecule: non-coding RNA, 48 nt
Filed under: Trichobilharzia regenti
Lineage: Eukaryota; Metazoa; Platyhelminthes; Trematoda; Strigeidida; Schistosomatidae
Source: RNAcentral
AUCCAGCUGACCACGACUCCCAAAUAGGACGAAAUGCGCAUCCUGGAU